Molecule: ribosomal RNA, 236 nt
Filed under: Mycobacterium simiae
Lineage: Bacteria; Bacillati; Actinomycetota; Actinomycetes; Mycobacteriales; Mycobacteriaceae
Description: partial 16S ribosomal RNA
Rfam family: Bacterial small subunit ribosomal RNA
Source: RNAcentral
UUUUGUUUGGAGAGUUUGAUCCUGGCUCAGGACGAACGCUGGCGGCGUGCUUAACACAUGCAAGUCGAACGGAAAGGCCCCUUCGGGGGUACUCGAGUGGCGAACGGGUGAGUAACACGUGGGUAAUCUGCCCUGCACUUCGGGAUAAGCCUGGGAAACUGGGUCUAAUACCGGAUAGGACCACUUGGCGCAUGCCUUGUGGUGGAAAGCUUUUUGCGGUGUGGGAUGGGCCCGCG